Acinonyx jubatus (cheetah) is the source of this 1682-nucleotide long non-coding RNA. RefSeq lists it as uncharacterized. Lineage: Eukaryota; Metazoa; Chordata; Mammalia; Carnivora; Felidae. The transcript is spliced from 2 exons. The record is from RefSeq and is a predicted model, not a curated record.
AGACGAUUACGUGCUCAAGAGCACAGAACGGACCCCAUAAAGAUCAUUCGAAGGACCAUAGGAUCAGCGUGUGUGUUGUAAUUUUUUAGAAACAAGCUUCACGCCCCGCCUCCAACGCACGCAGGGAAACAAACCCGUAGCUGAGGGAGAGGACGCCGACACCCCAGAUCAGAGGUGGCCCCCAGGGCACAGAGCCGCCGGCACCCAGGCGGGUGUGCAGGGGACCGGCAUCAGGGCGGUGGCCGACGCUCCCCUACUACACAACUACGCACAGCGGCACAGCACAGGUCCUUCCGGAGCCGGGGAAGACGCACGGCCUCCGCCGCCCGUGGGAACCCGGCAAGAACACUUUCCCGGGGGAGGAAGCAGAGGAAAAAGAUCCAUCAUCCGGACAUCGGCUUUCGGGGCUGUCUUGGUGGAUCUUCCCGACAAAGGCUCAGUCUCGCCGCCACGCGCGAGCGAAGGAAAACGGGGACAAGUGGGGGCGGAGGCGGCAGCUGGGGAGGACCGCGCCGGAGUCUGGAGAGCCGGGCGGAAGGAACCGACGAGAGGGGCCGCGUGGAGCGGAGGCCUUAGGCGGGAAAGCGAGCGAGCAGCGGGCCCCGCAGGCCCCGCUCACUGCCACGGGCGCGGCCCGGCGAGCGUCCUUCUCCCCAGACGGCUCUUCUUUCCGUCCCGAUCUUUAUUUACAGGGAAGUAAGAGCCAUCAGCUCCCCGUCGGGGCGAAAAGAAAGGGGGCUUCGGCGAGCGCCCCCCCCCCCCCGAUGGCGCGGGACCCUUCAGAGGGAUCCACACCGCCGCCCCUUCCGCGUCCGCGCCCCCGGGAGUAGGGGCGGGGCGCACCCAAGGCCCCCCUGUCGCCGUCACCCCACGGAGGUUUGUGCUUCCAACGGCGCCCCGGAGGAACGGCGCGACACCCCACCACUGCCAGUGCCCUCCCGCCUUUCUUCUGGGGCGACGCGCGCCUCGCACGGCGCGCCCGCCCUUUACCUCAGCGAGGCCAUGGGCUCCAGCCUCUGCCCACUCUGUGCGCCGGAAAGCCCGCGGGGUCUCGAGCGCCCCAGUGGAGGGGGCGGGGCUCAGCCAGCCGAGGCCGGAAAAGGCGGGAAAGGCCCUGAUUGGCUAAGAGUUUCCAAGCCGCCAGUUCCACCAUCGUCGGUCUAUCCCCGGCUCUGACAGCACCCCUCCCCACCAGCUUCCCCUCGGGCACCUGUCGCUGGAAGGAAUGAAAGCCCCGCGGCGGUUCUCGGCAAGCAGAACAACUUUUCCCCACCAGAGAAAGCCUGGAAUCUGAGCUGGUUUCUUGUGAGGUUAGCAUCCAGGAAAGGGUGAAUGAACUGCGUCGGGGGGAGUCUGAGCCGGUUCCAAAUUAGAGAGAACCUUUGGCAUCCAUCAUACCAGCCCUGCCUUCUCCAAAGGGUGAGAGUGAGGAUCCGGUGGGAUACAGCAUACUGGAAUUGCUUUGAAGACUAAAAUGUUGUACAUCUUCUUGUUUCUUUUAGACUUCACAAAAUAGCACCAAAGGGCUUCAAGCAAAGGGAUGGUAACGUCUGGAUUACCGUAUUUCAUCAAGUUUAAGAUGCUGUCAGUUAUAAGAUGAACCAUUUUUAAAUGUACCACGGAGGGGAAAAAAGUUGCCAAAUAAAGACGUCAUCAGUUAUAAGCUGAUUUUUUAAAAGCAA